Molecule: ribosomal RNA, 433 nt
Filed under: uncultured bacterium
Lineage: Bacteria
Description: partial 16S ribosomal RNA
Rfam family: Bacterial small subunit ribosomal RNA
Source: RNAcentral
AACGAACGCUGGCGGCAUGCCUAACACAUGCAAGUCGAACGAGACCUUCGGGUCUAGUGGCGCACGGGUGCGUAACGCGUGGGAACCUGCACUUAGGUUCGGAAUAACUCCCCGACAGGGGUGCUAAUACCGGAUAAUGUCUUCGGCCCAAGGAUUUAUCGCCUUUGGAUGUGCCGGCGUUGGAUUAGCUUGUUGGUAGGGUAAAAGCCUACCACGGCGACGAUCCAUAGCUGGUCUGAGAGGAUGAUCAGCGACACUGAGACUGAGACACGGCCGAGAAUCCUACGGGAAGCAGCAGUGGGGAAUAGUGGAAAGUGGGCGAAAGCCUGAACCAGCAAGGCCGGGAGAGUGAUGAAGGCCUUAGGGUUGUAAAGCGCUUUUACCCGGGAUGAUAAUGACAGUACCGGGAGAAUAAGCUCCGGCUAACUCCGUG